Long non-coding RNA from Gopherus evgoodei (Goodes thornscrub tortoise), 104 nucleotides. RefSeq lists it as uncharacterized. The transcript is spliced from 3 exons. Lineage: Eukaryota; Metazoa; Chordata; Testudines; Testudinidae. The record is from RefSeq and is a predicted model, not a curated record.
GAUUACCCACAAACCUCUGUUAGCCUGACUUUGGUCAGGUUGGCAUACCUGGUUUUGUCUGCUAUAUCUUUUUUUCAGGCCUAACACUGGCAAGAACAGAAACU